UGAAAAAUGCAGCUGCAAGCUCCUUUAUU
This 29-nucleotide non-coding RNA is filed under the name Rattus norvegicus (Norway rat). The record is from RNAcentral. Lineage: Eukaryota; Metazoa; Chordata; Mammalia; Rodentia; Muridae.